RNAcentral lists this ribosomal RNA (435 nucleotides) under uncultured Clostridium sp. Its description in RNAcentral is "partial 16S ribosomal RNA". It matches the Rfam family "Bacterial small subunit ribosomal RNA", at positions 341 to 792 of the family's 1533-position model. Lineage: Bacteria; Bacillati; Bacillota; Clostridia; Eubacteriales; Clostridiaceae. The record is from RNAcentral.
ACGGAAGGCAGCAGUGGGGGAUAUUGCACAAUGGGGGAAACCCUGAUGCAGCGACGCCGCGUGAGUGAUGAAGUAUUUCGGUAUGUAAAGCUCUAUCAGCAGGAAAGAUAAUGACGGUACCUGACUAAGAAGCACCGGCUAAAUACGUGCCAGCAGCCGCGGUAAUACGUAUGGUGCGAGCGUUAUCCGGAUUUACUGGGUGUAAAGGGAGCGCAGACGGCAUGGCAAGCCAGAUGUGAAAACCCGGGGCUCAACUCUGUGGAUUGCUUUUGGAACUGUUGAACUAGAGUGCAGGAGGGGUAAGCGGAAUUCCCAGUGUAGCGGUGAAAUGCGUAGAUAUUGGGAGGAACACCAGUGGCGAAGGCGGCUUACUGGAAUGCAACUGACACUGAGGCUCGAAAGCGUGGGGAGCAAACAGGAUUAGAUACCCUGGUA